AUACAUGCAGUCGAGCGAACAGAUAAGGAGCUUGCUCCUUUGACGUUAGCGGCGGACGGGUGAGUAACACGUGGAUAACCUACCUAUAAGACUGGGAUAACUUCGGGAAACCGGAGCUAAUACCGGAUAACAUAUUGAACCGCAUGGUUCAAUAGUGAAAGGCGGCUUUGCUGUCACUUAUAGAUGGAUCCGCGCCGUAUUAGCUAGUUGGUAAGGUAACGGCUUACCAAGGCAACGAUACGUAGCCGACCUGAGAGGGUGAUCGGCCACACUGGAACUGAGACACGGUCCAGACUCCUACGGGAGGCAGCAGUAGGGAAUCUUCCGCAAUGGGCGAAAGCCUGACGGAGCAACGCCGCGUGAGUGAUGAAGGUCUUCGGAUCGUAAAACUCUGUUAUCAGGGAAGAACAAAUGUGUAAGUAACUGUGCACAUCUUGACGGUACCUGAUCAGAAAGCCACGGCUAACUACGUGCCAGCAGCCGCGGUAAUACGUAGGUGGCAAGCGUUAUCCGGAAUUAUUGGGGCGUAAAGCGCGCGUAGGCGGUUUUUUUAAGUCUGAUGUGAAAGCCCACGGCUCAACCGUGGAGGGUCAUUGGAAACUGGAAAACUUGAGUGCAGAAGAGGAAAGUGGAAUUCCAUGUGUAGCGGUGAAAUGCGCAGAGAUAUGGAGGAACACCAGUGGCGAAGGCGACUUUCUGGUCUGUAACUGACGCUGAUGUGCGAAAGCGUGGGGAUCAAACAGGAUUAGAUACCCUGGUAGUCCACGCCGUAAACGAUGAGUGCUAAGUGUUAGGGGGUUUCCGCCCCUUAGUGCUGCAGCUAACGCAUUAAGCACUCCGCCUGGGGAGUACGACCGCAAGGUUGAAACUCAAAGGAAUUGACGGGGACCCGCACAAGCGGUGGAGCAUGUGGUUUAAUUCGAAGCAACGCGGAAGAACCUUACCAAAUCUUGACAUCCUUUGACCGCUCUAGAGAUAGAGUCUUCCCCUUCGGGGGACAAAGUGACAGGUGGUGCAUGGUUGUCGUCAGCUCGUGUCGUGAGAUGUUGGGUUAAGUCCCGCAACGAGCGCAACCCUUAAGCUUAGUUGCCAUCAUUAAGUUGGGCACUCUAAGUUGACUGCCGGUGACAAACCGGAGGAAGGUGGGGAUGACGUCAAAUCAUCAUGCCCCUUAUGAUUUGGGCUACACACGUGCUACAAUGGACAAUACAAAGGGCAGCUAAACCGCGAGGUCAAGCAAAUCCCAUAAAGUUGUUCUCAGUUCGGAUUGUAGUCUGCAACUCGACUACAUGAAGCUGGAAUCGCUAGUAAUCGUAGAUCAGCAUGCUACGGUGAAUACGUUCCCGGGUCUUGUACACACCGCCCGUCACACCACGAGAGUUUGUAACACCCGAAGCCGGUGGAGUAACCAUUUAUGGAGCUAGCCGUCGA
This 1431-nucleotide ribosomal RNA is filed under the name Staphylococcus sp. RNAcentral's name for it is "bacterial SSU rRNA". It matches the Rfam family "Bacterial small subunit ribosomal RNA". The record is from RNAcentral. Lineage: Bacteria; Bacillati; Bacillota; Bacilli; Caryophanales; Staphylococcaceae. RNAcentral also lists the same sequence under 1 other name.